GCAAGGAGAAGGUAAUUGUUGCAGUGUGCUGGCGUCUGGCAAACCCGAGACCAUCUGCUGUUGUUGCACGUGCACUUGCAAAAGAGGAAAGGCCAGACCCAUGGCACGUCUAACCUUCUGCGUGAGUGCUCUCCUCCUACUGACCUACUUCUCGCCCGGCGUCCGCGGUGGCUGCCAGACCCUAACUCAGGAAAUAUCGUAACAGUCGAGGAACUCAGCGCGGAUAACGUUCUCCUGGUCUGCGAUGAGGGAUACACCGUUCCCUGUUACGAGACCCGCGUCGUCAAGGCCACCUGCGAAGGGAAUCAGUGGCUCUACGACCCGGACGGACGCGCGUGCUGGUGUCAGUGGC
Penaeus vannamei (Pacific white shrimp) is the source of this 352-nucleotide non-coding RNA. NCBI's taxonomy places the organism in Eukaryota, Metazoa, Arthropoda, Malacostraca, Decapoda, Penaeidae. The record is from RefSeq and is a predicted model, not a curated record.